CUCGCGGCAGGAGAUGGCAUGCCUCCUUUAACCGCCACCGGCCUCGUGCCGGGGCUGAUGAUGCCUACGCAACC
RNAcentral lists this non-coding RNA (74 nucleotides) under Pandoraea thiooxydans. Its description in RNAcentral is "Fluoride sequence". It matches the Rfam family "Fluoride riboswitch aptamer (crcB RNA motif)". The record is from Rfam by way of RNAcentral. Lineage: Bacteria; Pseudomonadati; Pseudomonadota; Betaproteobacteria; Burkholderiales; Burkholderiaceae.